UGAAUACGAGACGCUACGGCGUUGAAGCAGUCUAUGUCAUACUUCCAAGAAAAGCUCGCAAUGUCUUAAACAAAUAAUGCCUGUACCAUAACCGACACAGGUGGGUAGGUAGAGUAUACUAAGGGGCGCGAGAUAACUCUCUCUAAGGAACUCGGCAAAAUGACUCCGUAACUUCGGGAGAAGGAGUGCCUUAUUUAUAAGGUUGCAAUAACAAGAUCCAAGCAACUGUUUAUCAAAAACACAGGUCUCCGCUAAGUCGUAAGACGAUGUAUGGGGGCUGACGCCUGCCCAGUGCCAGAAGGUUAAAGAAGUUGGUUAGCAUUAGCGAAGCUGAUGACUGAAGCCCUGGUGAACGGCGGCCGCAACGAUAACGGUCCUAAGGUAGCGAAAUUCCUUGUCGGGUAAGUUCCGACCCGCACGAAAGGCGUAAUGAUUUGGAUACUGUCUCGGAGAGGGACUCGGUGAAAUAGACUUGUCUGUGAAGAUGCGGACUACCUGCACCUGGACAGAAAGACCCUAUGAAGCUUUACUGUAACUUGAAAUUGAAAUUGGACUUUAUUCGCGCAGUAUAGGUGGGAGGCUUUGAGAAUAUUCUUGCGGGAAUAUUUGAGCCAUCAGUGAGAUACCACCCUUGUAAUGUUAGAUUUCUAACUUUGUAUCAUGAUCUGGUCAAAGAACAGUUUCAGGCGGGCAGUUUGACUGGGGCGGUCGCCUCCCAAAUGGUAACGGAGGCGUACAAAGGUUUCCUCUGAACGGGUAGAAAUCGUAUCUAGAGUGUAAAGGCAUAAGGAAGCUUGACUGUGAGACCUACAAGUCGAGCAGGGACGAAAGUCGGUCUUAGUGAUCUGACGGUGCUGAGUGGAAAGGCCGUCACUCAACGGAUAAAAGUUACUCUAGGAUAACAGGCUGAUCUCCCCCAAGAGUUCACAUCGACGGGGAGGUUUGGCACCUCGAUGUCGGCUCAUCGCAUCCUGGGGCGGUAGUACGUCCCAAGGGUUGGGCUGUUCGCCCAUGAAAGCGGUACGCGAGCUGGGUUCAGAACGUCGUGAGACAGUUCGGUCCAUAUCCGGUGUAGGCGUUAGAAUAUUGAGAGGAGCCUUCUUUAGUACGAGAGGACCGAGAAGGACAUACCUCUGGUGUACCAGUUAGAGUGCCAACGGUAAACGCUGGGUAGCUAUGUAUGGAGAGGAUAACCGCUGAAAGCAUCUAAGUGGGAAGCCCACCUCAAGAUAAG
Molecule: ribosomal RNA, 1234 nt
Filed under: metagenome
Description: bacterial LSU rRNA
Rfam family: Bacterial large subunit ribosomal RNA
Source: RNAcentral